RNAcentral lists this ribosomal RNA (255 nucleotides) under uncultured bacterium. RNAcentral's name for it is "partial 16S ribosomal RNA". It matches the Rfam family "Bacterial small subunit ribosomal RNA", at positions 524 to 776 of the family's 1533-position model. The record is from RNAcentral.
UACGGAGGGGGCUAGCGUUGUUCGGAAUUACUGGGCGUAAAGCGCGCGUAGGCGGACCUACAAGUCGGGGGUGAAAGCCCGAGGCUCAACCUCGGAACUGCCUUCGAUACUGCGGGUCUCGAGUCCGGGAGAGGUGAGUGGAAUUCCUAGUGUAGAGGUGAAAUUCGUAGAUAUUAGGAAGAACACCAGUGGCGAAGGCGGCUCAGCUGGCCCGGUACUGACGCUGAGGCGACGAAAGCGUGGGGAGCAAACAGG